This 679-nucleotide unclassified non-coding RNA is filed under the name Hevea brasiliensis (rubber tree). The record is from RNAcentral. Lineage: Eukaryota; Viridiplantae; Streptophyta; Magnoliopsida; Malpighiales; Euphorbiaceae.
ACAACAUAAUUAAUUCCAUUAAAACAAAACAAGACGAUCAAGCUACAACCAAAAACUUUAAAGGAAAUUAAAACCAAAAGUAGGUUUGACAAUCAAAAUACAAGUAGGUCGGUAGGAGCUAAAAAGAUUGCAACAGCCACAAUUGUUCCGGUGACUGAAAGUUGAGGUCCGUUCUUGUAUCCGUCGGAGACGUCUUUGUUAGUAUCUGGUGAUGACGAUGCGGAUGGUGUGGUGGAUACAGGCGAUUUGCUGGUGGCAUUGGUGAAGAUGGCAUAGUCAGGAGAAGUUGGAGGAAUGUUGAGUAGCUUAGGACAGUUAGAGAUGGUAGCAUUAGUGAGUUUGCAAGCAGAAGGAAGCUGAAGCAAUUUUUCUUCUUGAAUUCCCAUACUCUUCAAUUGAGGACUUGAUCCUUUAUGGAUCUGUUCUAUUAUAUAACACAAACAAACCGGGUCAUGAUCUUUGAUAUCUUCCGCCGCAUCGCAACAUUCCUUCGAUGGCGACGGGGCCUUCCCCGUCGCGUACGUUAAACAUGCAGCCACUUUUUGAAACUCCGUACCACACUUAUCGCCCAAGCUCUUAUCAUCAUCACCAUUAGCUAUUACUAUUCCAAUAGAAACUAUUAGUAAAACUACUAACUUAUAUGCACUUGCCAUUUUAUUUUUAGGGAAGGAAAGUAAGG